UGCUUAUUUCUAGAGAUAGAAAGUUACUUCGGUACAUCGGUGACAGGUGGUGCAUGGUUGUCGUCAGCUCGUGUCGUGAGAUGUUGGGUUAAGUCCCGCAACGAGCGCAACCCCUAUUGUUAGUUGCCAUCAUUCAGUUGGGCACUCUAGCGAGACUGCCGGUAAUAAACCGGAGGAAGUGGGGAUGACGUCAAAUCAUCAUGCCCCUUAUGACCUGGGCUACACACGUGCUACAAUGGUUGGUACAACGAGUUGCGAGUCGGUGACGGCGAGCUAAUCUCUUAAAGCCAAUCUCAGUUCGGAUUGUAGGCUGCAACUCGCCUACAUGAAGUCGGAAUCGCUAGUAAUCGCGGAUCAGCACGCCGCGGUGAAUACGUUCCCGGGCCUU
RNAcentral lists this ribosomal RNA (388 nucleotides) under uncultured Streptococcus sp. RNAcentral's name for it is "bacterial SSU rRNA". It matches the Rfam family "Bacterial small subunit ribosomal RNA", at positions 990 to 1382 of the family's 1533-position model. Lineage: Bacteria; Bacillati; Bacillota; Bacilli; Lactobacillales; Streptococcaceae. The record is from RNAcentral.